RNAcentral lists this ribosomal RNA (440 nucleotides) under uncultured bacterium. Its description in RNAcentral is "partial 16S ribosomal RNA". It matches the Rfam family "Bacterial small subunit ribosomal RNA", at positions 339 to 795 of the family's 1533-position model. The record is from RNAcentral.
CUACGGGACGCUCCAGUGGGGGAUAUUGCACAAUGGGCGAAAGCCUGAUGCAGCAACGCCGCGUGAAGGAAGACGGUUUUCGGAUUGUAAACUUCUAUCAGCAGGGAAGAAAAAAGACUGUACCUGACUAAGAAGCCCCGGCUAACUACGUGCCAGCAGCCGCGGUAAUACGUAGGGGGCAAGCGUUAUCCGGAUUUACUGGGUGUAAAGGGUACGUAGGCGGUUUAUUAAGUCAGAUGUGAAAGCCCGGAGCUCAACUCCGGGACUGCAUUUGAAACUGGUGAACUAGAGUACAGGAGAGGUAAGUGGAAUUCCUAGUGUAGCGGUGAAAUGCGUAGAUAUUAGGAAGAACACCAGUGGCGAAGGCGACUUACUGGACUGUAACUGACGCUGAGGUACGAAAGCGUGGGGAGCGAACAGGAUUAGAUACCCUUGUAGUC